GUGCCAGCAGCCGCGGUAAUACGUAGGGUGCAAGCGUUAAUCGGAAUUACUGGGCGUAAAGCGUGCGCAGGCGGUUCGCUAAGACCGAUGUGAAAUCCCCGGGCUUAACCUGGGAACUGCAUUGGUGACUGGCGGGCUAGAGUAUGGCAGAGGGGGGUAGAAUUCCACGUGUAGCAGUGAAAUGCGUAGAGAUGUGGAGGAAUACCGAUGGCGAAGGCAGCCCCCUGGGCCAAUACUGACGCUCAUGCACGAAAGCGUGGGGAGCAAACAGGAUUAGAUACCCUCGUAGUCC
Molecule: ribosomal RNA, 292 nt
Filed under: uncultured bacterium
Lineage: Bacteria
Description: partial 16S ribosomal RNA
Rfam family: Bacterial small subunit ribosomal RNA
Source: RNAcentral